AAGAAAAUUUAUUGGACAGCUGGGACUAACAACUAAUAUAACGGUGCCAUUUUACAGUGAUCCUCCUCCUCAAACUGUGCAAUUCUUUCUAAAUGGAUCUAUUAUAACAAACUCUGGAAAACAUACAGUCAGAUUCAUUAAAGGACAUGUGAAAGAUAUAUUUUAUGGACAAAAAGUGCAGCUAGUUGGGUAUUUUGCUCAGCUUGAAAUAAAGAAUGUGGAUGAAUCGAAUUUUGUUAACUACACCUUGGUCAUUGAUAACGGGAUUGGAUCAUACAAAUCAUGGAUGAUUGACCACAUCUUUGAAAAUAAACCAGAUGUACCUUAAAAUUUUACUCUUGCAAAACAAUUGAGUACAGAAAGUUCAUUUACCGUGACAUGGACUCCUGGCAAUGACAAUGGUUACCAACAAACGUUUAUAUUGAAGUAUAAAAAGGUAUCAGAUGAUGAAUGGAAUACUGUGUCAGUAUCUGAUACAGGGGAAUAUGAAAUGACCUACACUGUUACCGGAUUAUCAAGCGGGACAUACUACGAGAUUGUGUUGUAUGCUUCUAAUAUGCUAGGAAACUCGGAAGAAUCUGAAAUUAUACUUGCCAAAACGAAAGGAAAAGCAAAGAUACAAGAUUGCAACAACGGCGCCUGUAAUAAUGACAUAAAAGCAGUGAUUGUAGGCAUUGUUCUUGGAAUAAUCAUCGUGGUUAAGUCGUGGCAUAUGCUGGUUAUGUUACAAUAUUACUGAAACGAAAAAGUGAAAACACAGCGGGAAAUAACUCUGGACAGCCCACUAAGCUGACUAAAAACAAUGUACCUUUGUAUUCAAAUAUGGUGUUCUCAACAAAUGAUGGUGAGGACCAACAGGGAACAGAUCCAGAUGAAUCCGGAGAGUCUCAAUAUACGUCACUGAAGACCGAACUAAAAGACGAUAGACAAACAUAUGACGUAUUAAGAGUGUAGUGUUAAAUAAUUGAAGACAAAGAGAAAUCAAGAUUUCGACUGAAAGGCAUUUUACUUAUGAUAUUUAAAUUACAAUUUUAAAUACUUGUGAACGUAAAAAAUAACUGAAAAAAAGAU
Ruditapes philippinarum (Manila clam) is the source of this 1071-nucleotide long non-coding RNA. RefSeq lists it as uncharacterized. Lineage: Eukaryota; Metazoa; Mollusca; Bivalvia; Venerida; Veneridae. The transcript has 5 exons. The record is from RefSeq and is a predicted model, not a curated record.